GCCUGGCUAGCUCAGUUGGUAGAGCAUGGGAUUCUUAAUCCCAGGGUCAUAGGUUCAUGCCCAAUGUUGGGCA
Molecule: transfer RNA, 73 nt
Filed under: Fulmarus glacialis (Northern fulmar)
Lineage: Eukaryota; Metazoa; Chordata; Aves; Procellariiformes; Procellariidae
Also listed under: 1 other name
Rfam family: tRNA
About the family: Transfer RNA (tRNA) molecules are approximately 80 nucleotides in length. Their secondary structure includes four short double-helical elements and three loops (D, anti-codon, and T loops). Further hydrogen bonds mediate the characteristic L-shaped molecular structure. tRNAs have two regions of fundamental functional importance: the anti-codon, which is responsible for specific mRNA codon recognition, and the 3' end, to which the tRNAs corresponding amino acid is attached (by aminoacyl-tRNA synthetases). tRNAs cope with the degeneracy of the genetic code in two manners: having more than one tRNA (with a specific anti-codon) for a particular amino acid; and 'wobble' base-pairing, i.e. permitting non-standard base-pairing at the 3rd anti-codon position.
Source: Rfam by way of RNAcentral